RNAcentral lists this ribosomal RNA (472 nucleotides) under Leiobunum relictum. RNAcentral describes it as "partial 16S ribosomal RNA". It matches the Rfam family "Bacterial large subunit ribosomal RNA", at positions 1886 to 2601 of the family's 2925-position model. Lineage: Eukaryota; Metazoa; Arthropoda; Arachnida; Opiliones; Sclerosomatidae. The record is from RNAcentral.
GGAUUUAAAGUAUAUUCUGCCCCCUGAUUAAUCUAUUAAAGGGCCGCAGUAGCCUGACUGUGCUAAGGUAGCAUAAUCAUUAGGUUCUUAAUUGGGAUCUGGAAUGAAUGAAUGAAUAAGGGGGAGCUGUCUAUCAAUAGAGUUUGAAAUUAAAUUUUUAGUAAGAAUGCUAGAAUNCUUUCAGUGGGACGAUAAGACCCUAUAAAGCUUUACUAAUCUUUAGUAAAAAUUUUUACUACUUUUAUGAAGAGNUUUAGUUUUACUGGGGCGGUAGCUAAUCAACUUAGCUAAUUUUCUUUUAUUGUGGAUCCAUCUUUGGUGAAGUAAGAUUAAGUUACUUUAGGGAUAACAGCAUAAUAUACUUAUGGAGUUCUAAUCGAAGAGUAUGAUUGUGACCUCGAUGUUGAAUUAACCUAAUUGUAAGGUGAAGAAGCUCUACGAGUUAGUCUGUUCGACUAUGAAAGGGUUACGU